RNAcentral lists this ribosomal RNA (1083 nucleotides) under Triticum aestivum (bread wheat). Its description in RNAcentral is "partial small subunit ribosomal RNA". The record is from RNAcentral. Lineage: Eukaryota; Viridiplantae; Streptophyta; Magnoliopsida; Poales; Poaceae.
AUGGAGAUCGACGCCGACCUCGUCGUCACCAGGGCCGAGAUCACGGACGCCGCGGCGGCCACGUUCGCGGACUCAACAGUGAUCCCCGACAGGUACGCCCGGCCGGACGAGGUCGGGGACGGGGUCGUGGUGGGCGACGAGGAGAGCCACGAGCUGCCGCUCGUAGACAUGGCGAGGCUGCUCGACUCGGAGUCCUCUGAGGCGGAGGCGGCCAAGCUUGGCUCUGCAUGUCGAGACUGGGGCUUCUUCCAGCUAACAAACCAUGGACUCGACGAAUCAGCUGUACAAGACAUGAAGAAUAACGCUGUGCAGUUCUUCCGCUUGCCACUGGAGAAGAAGAACGCCGUGGCCAUCGAGGCCGGCCGUUUGGAAGGGUUUGGGCACCACUUCGCCGGAGCAUCCUGCGACAAACUGGACUGGGCAGAGAGCCUGAUACUCGCGACGCAAGAGAACGAGCAGACGAACAUGGAGCUCUGGCCCGCCGAUCCGCCAACAUUUAGGGAUGCACUUGAGAAGUACUCGCUCGAGAUGUCUAGUCUCGCGAGGCGCCUCCUGAGGUUCAUGGCGAGCGACAUCGGAGUGGAGCGGGAGGCGCUCGACGGGGCCUUCCGGGGCAAGAGGCAGACCGUGGCCAUGCACCACUACCCUCCAUGCCGGCACCCGGACAAGGUGAUAGGCAUCACGCCGCACCAUGACGGCCUCGGCCUGGCCCUCCUGCUGCACGUGGACGACACCCCGGGCCUGCAGGUGAGGAGGGGCGGCAGGUGGUUCCCGCUGGAUCCGCUGCCGGGCGCCCUCGUCGUCAACGUCGGCGACAUCCUCCAGGUGCUCACCAACGGCAAGUACAGGAGCGCCGAGCAUAGGGUGUUGGUGGACGCCGAGAGAGGCCGGACGACCGUGGUGAUGUUCCAGGGCGCGUCCGUCGCCGGGACGGUGAGGCCGCUCCCGGGGCUCGGCGAGGCCAGGUACAGGGCGAUCGAGUAUGGUGAGUAUGUCAAGGGGAAUUUCAGGGCGCUCGUUGAAGGGACCAGGUUCGUGGAUAGUCUCCAGACCGAUGUAGCGCAGGAUGAGAAGGAAAUCUAA